AUCAGAUGGGAAAUACUCCCUUAUUCGCUCCCUGUGCGAUGUAAUGUUCGACAUCGACGACAUUGGAAGUGAAUCAUCCUCUUCCGCAGACUUGGAUUUCGAUGGCGAGGACAGCCUUGACACAAUCAAUCGGGAAUACUUCGUUGAUGUCGCUGCAUCGCGUCGUUCCUUGAUGGCGGAUCUACAGCUCCGAAUGGCAGCGGAUAAGCCCAUUGCCCCAGCCCAUAUGCAUGGUCACCGCCUCAGCUCACAUGGGUCAGUUCGUCGGGGCGCGAAUGGGAAAAGGAUGCUCAAUAAACGCG
This 302-nucleotide small RNA is filed under the name Histoplasma ohiense. Its description in RNAcentral is "hypothetical lncRNA". Lineage: Eukaryota; Fungi; Ascomycota; Eurotiomycetes; Onygenales; Ajellomycetaceae. The record is from RNAcentral.